RNAcentral lists this ribosomal RNA (462 nucleotides) under uncultured bacterium. RNAcentral describes it as "partial 16S ribosomal RNA". It matches the Rfam family "Bacterial small subunit ribosomal RNA", at positions 339 to 795 of the family's 1533-position model. The record is from RNAcentral.
CUACGGGAGGCUCCAGUGGGGAAUAUUGCACAAUGGGCGCAAGCCUGAUGCAGCCAUGCCGCGUAUGAAGAAGGCCUUCGGGUUGUAAAGUACUUUCAGCGGGGAGGAAGGGAGUAAAGUUAAUACCUUUGCUCAUUGACGUUACCCGCAGAAGAAGCACCGGCUAACUCCGUGCCAGCAGCCGCGGUAAUACGGAGGGUGCAAGCGUUAAUCGGAAUUACUGGGCGUAAAGCGCACGCAGGCGGUUUGUUAAGUCAGAUGUGAAAUCCCCGGGCUCAACCUGGGAACUGCAUCUGAUACUGGCAAGCUUGAGUCUCGUAGAGGGGGGUAGAAUUCCAGGUGUAGCGGUGAAAUGCGUAGAGAUCUGGAGGAAUACCGGUGGCGAAGGCGGCCCCCUGGACGAAGACUGACGCUCAGGUGCGAAAGCGUGGGGAGCAAACAGGAUUAGAUACCCGCGUAGUC